CUAAUUCUAAACAAAGUAUGACAAAAGACCUCUCCUCGAUUUUCACAUCUGAAAAAUUAAAGAAACUAAUAAAUAGGGGAAUUUAAUAUUGAUUUCAAAACUAGUUUUUCUUUAAAAAAAUCCCUAAACCUAGGUUGGCUCGCCGUUUUCCCAAGUUCAUCUACAAUAGAUUUCUCGCCGCUUUCCUAAAGUCAUCUAAAACUUGCUACUAUUCCAAAUUCCUUAAGAAGAUCUUGCACCAGAAAUCCUUUUAGCAGGGAGCUUCCUAUUCUUUGUAGUAUGUAAAGGUGAAGGAGUUAAAUUUUUGGUUCAUUUUGUCAAUCCCCGUAUGCUAAAUUUCAAAUUUUCAUUUCCUAUGUAAAAUAUAAUUUUUACUAUUAAUUGUCUGAUUGUUAGUAUAAAGUAGUUUAAGCUAUCCAGUUACAAUAUUUGGGUAUAUUCUAUUUUGUCAAUGAGGGCUAAUUUUUGAUUGGUGUAUUGGAGGAUUGUCAUGUUGCUGUCCUGUUUCAGGAAUGUUUUAUAACUUUUUGGGCAUAGUAUGAAUACAGUAAAAUUUUAUUUUAUGUCGAAGCUAAGAAAAUAAUAGAUGUUUCAAUGGAGUACUUGUUGCUUAGCAGUGGAUAUUAAUUAAUUUAGUUAUGAUGGAUUAAUACGAUACAAAUUUCUUUAUGAUUUGUUUUGAACUAUAUUGUUCAUACUCUUCAAAGAUUUUGAUGUGAUACCUAUAGGAGGACCCUCCUAUAAUUUUCCAUUUUUUGCAGAUGUGUGACACGUCCGAAAAUAUUUUAGGACAAUCGAGAUACAUAGAUUUUUACUCAUCUAUUCAAGAAAUUAUUUUUCAUGUCAAUUAUUAUUUUCAAGGUUGAUAUUUAAUUUUCAACUUAGGUAUAUAUUCAAAUUUCAAAGAUCAAGGAUCAAGGAAAAACUUUCUCUAGUUAUCAUAUUCAAGGAUCAAGGAAAAACUGAAUUGGAAUGAGGGGUUGAAUCGAUGGGAUAUUUCAAUUCUCUUCCGCUUCAUCAUAAUCCAUUCUCGUUAUUCCAAUGAUUUUUUGUGCUUCUAUUGAAUGAUGUUUCAAAUUUCUUUAGUGUAUUAUGCUUAUUGGAAUAGAUAUUGAUUCUGCUUAAAACAAUGUAAUAUGAUGACCAACCAUUUAUGGGGUAUUUCAAAUCUCUUUCGCUUCAUCAUAAUCCAUUCUCUUUAUUCCAA
Molecule: long non-coding RNA, 1207 nt
Organism: Solanum lycopersicum (tomato)
Lineage: Eukaryota; Viridiplantae; Streptophyta; Magnoliopsida; Solanales; Solanaceae
Source: RefSeq, a predicted model, not a curated record